Molecule: ribosomal RNA, 1230 nt
Filed under: Triticum aestivum (bread wheat)
Lineage: Eukaryota; Viridiplantae; Streptophyta; Magnoliopsida; Poales; Poaceae
Description: partial small subunit ribosomal RNA
Source: RNAcentral
AUGGCGGGCCGCCGCUCCCGCUCCCCCUCGCUCUCCUCCCCCUCCUCCCGCUCCCUCUCCUCCUUCUCCUCGGUCUCCUCCCCGUCCCGCAGCCGCUCCCCUCCCGACCGCGGCCGCCGCAGCUCGUCCGCCGCGCGGAGGGGCCGCUCGCCGCCGCCGCCGCGGGAGGGGCCCAAGGGAGGCCGCCCGACCUCGCCUUCGCCGCCGCCCAAGAAACCCUCGCCUCCCCCUCCAGCACCGAGGAAGCCCUCCCCCGCUCCGGUCCCCGACGAGUCGUCGCUCGUCCUCCUCGUCAGCCGCCUCUCCCGCAACGUCACCGAGGGCCAUCUCAGGGAGAUCUUCGAGAACUAUGGUGAAAUCGUCAAUGUGGAGCUGUCCAUGGACAAGGCGGUCAAUCUUCCUCGUGGGUACGGAUACGUUGAGUUCAAGAUGAGAGCUGAUGCCGAGAAGGCGCUUCUUUACAUGGAUGGUGCUCAAAUUGAUGGGAAUGUUGUUAAAGUGAAAUUCGCACCUGCACCGGGCCAAAAAGCUGCUGUUUCUUUGCCGAAGGCUCUUCCCAAUCCUCCGAAAAGAGAUCUGCCUGAGACUGAUACAGUUGUUCCUAAUGCUGAAAAGGCCACUCAGCAGCGACCCAGGGAAUUAUCUACUCAAAGAAAACCAGCUCUGUCUCCACAAAGGCGACCUGCUCCAAGCGGAAGGGUUGACUCACCUAGGCGGCAGCCUGAUGCACCACCAAUUCACCCUUGGAAAGAUCCUCCUCUAUUCAGGCGCGGCAGAACACCUCCUAGCCUGAGACCAGGAUAUCCAGUUCGAAGACGGUCUCCCUCUCCACCCCCUCGAAGAUUCAGAUCACCAAGGCGCUUUUCACCAAGAAGAGGUUAUGUUAGUCCAGUCCGAAGACGUUCUCCAUUCGCUCCUAGAAGGAUGACACCUCCAAUGCGGAUGAGAAGUCCUCCCAGAAGGCUGCCACCUCCUUAUCUUCGUAGUAGAUCUCCCAUUCGUCGACCAAUUCGCUCCCUUUCCAGAUCAAUUUCUCCUGUCAGGGGUCGAGCAGCUCCUGUGAGGCGUGGGCGCUCAUCCUCGUCAUAUUCUGAAUCACCAACGCCGCCAAGAAGGGGAGCCGGAAGGGUACUGAGAAGUCGCAGCCCUCAAAGGCCCUUUAGAGGGAGACGGAGAAGUGCCUCUAGCUUCAGCAAUAGUAGUGGUUCAUCCUCCCCUAUCCGCCGUUAG